CAAAACCACCCACUGGUGCAUUUCUUAGAGCCUUUCUGCAUUGUUAGUUACACAUGACUGUAGCUGUGGCUUCUACCAUUAGUCACUAAGCAAGUUAUUCAUUUUGAAUUGAUUUGUAUCUCUGAAGAUGCCUCACACAGACCUGCUGCUCUUACACUGCCCAGCUGUGCCUGCUAAUCUUGUGAAGACUCAUUUGGGCUGGCACCUGUCAGAUCUCUCCAUUAUGAAGAGUUGA
Molecule: long non-coding RNA, 235 nt
Filed under: Fukomys damarensis (Damara mole-rat)
Lineage: Eukaryota; Metazoa; Chordata; Mammalia; Rodentia; Bathyergidae
Description: lncRNA (ENSFDAG00000025467.1)
Source: RNAcentral